UAUGGAUCUCUAUGGUGUCUCUACGGGGUUUGGGAUCACUGUAGGCUCUCUAUGGGGUCCCUAUGGGGUCUCUAUGGGGCUGGGGGUCUCUAUGGAUCUCUGUGGUGUCUCUACGGGGUUUGAGAUCUCUAUGGGGUCUCUAUGGGGCUGGGGGUCUCUAUGGAUCUCUAUGGCGUCUCUACGGGGUUUGGGGUCUCUAUGGGGUCUCUAUGGGGCUGGGGGUCUCUAUGGAUCUCUAUGGUGUCUCUACGGGGUUUGGGGUCUCUAUGGGGUCUCUAUGGGGCUGGGGGUCUCUAUGGAUCUCUAUGGUGUCUCUACGGGGUUUGGGGUCCCUAUGGGGUCUCUAUGGGGUCCCUAUGGGGUCUCUAUGGGGCUGGGGGGCUCUAUGGAUCUCUAUGGUGUCUCUACGGGGUUUGGGAUCUCUGUAGGGUCUCUGUAGGGUCUCUGUAGGGUCUCUAUGGGGUCUCUAUGGGGUCUCUAUGGGGUCUCUAUGGGGCUGGGGGUCUCUAUGGAUCUCUAUGGUGUCUCUACGGGGUUUGGGGUCUCUAUGGGAUCUCUAUGGGGUCUCUAUGGGGUCUCUAUGGGGUCUCUAUGGGGUCUCUAUGGGGUCUCUAUGGGGCUGGGGGUCUCUAUGGAUCUCUAUGGUGUCUCUACGUGGUUUGGGAUCUCUGUAGGCUCCCUAUGGGGUCCCUAUGGGGUCCCUAUGGGGUCUCUAUGGGGUCCCUAUGGGUUCUCUAUGGGGCUGGGGGUCUCUAUGGAUCUCUAUGGUGUCUCUACGGGGUUUGGGGUCUCUGUAGGCUCUCUAUAGGGGCUCUAUGGAGUCUCUUUGGGGUCUCAAUGGGGUUUGCGGUUUCUGUGGGUUUCUAUGGGGUCUCUAUGGGGUCUCUAUGGAUCUCUAUGGAUGCCUAUGGUGUCUCUAUGCGGUUUGGGGUCUCUAUGGGGUCCCUAUAACAUCUGUAUGGAGUCUUUAUGGGGUCUCUAUGAGGUUUGGGGUCUCUGUGGGUCUCUAUGGGGUCUGUAUAGAGUCUCUAUGGGGUCUCUAUGAGGUUUGGGGUCUCUGUGGGUCUCUAUGGGGUCUCUAUGAGGUUUGGGGUCUCUGUGGGUCUCUAUGGGGUCUCUAUGAGGUUUGGGGUCUCUAUGGGGUCCCUAUUGGGUCUCUAUGGGGUCUCUAUGGGGCUGGGGGUCUCUAUGGGGUUUGGGAUCUCUAUGGGGUCUACAUGGGGCUGGGAGGUCUCUGUGGGGUCUCCAUGGGGUCUCUAUGGGGUUUGGGAUCUCUAUGGGGUCUACAUGGGGCUGGGAGGUCUCUGUGGGGUCUCCAUGGGGUCCUCUAUGCGAGUCUAUGGUGUCUCCAUGGGGCUGAGAGGUCUCUAUAGGGUCUCCAUGGGAUCACUAUGAGGUCUCUAUGGGGUCUCUAUGGGCAUCUAUGGGGUCUCUAUGAGGCUGAGAUGUCUCUAUGGGGUCUCCAUGGGGUCUCUGUGAGGCUGGGGGUCUCUAUGGGGUCUCUAUGUGGUCCCUAUGGGGCUGAGAGGUCUCUAUGGGGUCUCUAUGGGGCUGAGGGGUCUCUAAUGGGUCUCUGUGGGUCCCUAUGGGGUCUCUAUAGGGUUUGGGGUCUCUACGGGGUCUCUACGGGGUCUCUAUGGGGUCUCUAUGGGGGCUGAGAGGUCUCUAUGGGGUCUCUAUGGGUCUCCAUGGGGCUGAGGGGUCCCUAUGGGGUCUCUAUGGGGUCUCAAUGGGGUCUCUGUGAGGCUGGGAGUCUCUAUGGGGUCUCUAUUGGGUGUCUGUGGGGCUGGGAGUUUCCAUGGGGUCUCUAUGGGGUCUGUAAGUGGUUUGGGGUCUCUGUGGGAUAUCUAUGGGGUUUUUAUGGGGUCUCUAUGGGGUUUGGAGUCUCUACGGGGUCUCUAUGGGGUAUGGGGUCUCUAUGGGGUUUGAGGUCUCUAUUGGGGCUCUAUGGGGUCUCCAUGGGGCUGUGAGGUCUCUGUGGGGUCUCCAUGGGGUCACUAUGAGGUCUCUGUGAGGCUGGGGGUCUCUAUGGGGUCUCUAUGGGAGUCUAUGGGGUCUCCAUGGGUCUGAGAGGUCUCCAUGGGGUCUCUAUGGGGCUGAGAGGUCUCUAUGGAGUCUCUAUGGGGUCUCUAUGGGGCUGGGGGUCUGUAUGGAUCUCUAUGGGGUCUCUAUGGGGUCUCUAUGGGGUCUCCAUGGGGCUGAGUGGUCUCCAUGGGGUCUCCAUGGGGUCUCUGUGAGGCUGGGGGUCUCUAUGGGGUCUCCAUGGGGUCCCUAUGGGGCUGAGAGGUCUCUAUGGGGUCCCUAUGGGGCUGAGAGGUCUCUAUGGGGUCUCCAUGGGGCUGAGGGGUCUCUAUGGAGUCUCCA
Long non-coding RNA from Gallus gallus (chicken), 2364 nucleotides. The record is from Ensembl. Lineage: Eukaryota; Metazoa; Chordata; Aves; Galliformes; Phasianidae.